RNAcentral lists this ribosomal RNA (99 nucleotides) under Bacillus licheniformis. RNAcentral's name for it is "partial 23S ribosomal RNA". It matches the Rfam family "Bacterial large subunit ribosomal RNA", at positions 2827 to 2925 of the family's 2925-position model. Lineage: Bacteria; Bacillati; Bacillota; Bacilli; Caryophanales; Bacillaceae. The record is from RNAcentral.
AGUAAGAUCCCUGAAAGAUGAUCAGGUUGAUAGGUCUGAGGUGGAAGUGUGGCGACACAUGGAGCUGACAGAUACUAAUCGAUCGAGGACUUAACCUAA